This 440-nucleotide ribosomal RNA is filed under the name uncultured bacterium. RNAcentral's name for it is "partial 16S ribosomal RNA". It matches the Rfam family "Bacterial small subunit ribosomal RNA", at positions 338 to 795 of the family's 1533-position model. The record is from RNAcentral.
CCUACGGGAGGCAGCAGUAGGGAAUAUUGCGCAAUGGGGGAAACCCUGAAGCAGCAACGCCGCGUGGACGAUGAAGGUCUUAGGAUUGUAAACUCUUUUUGUUAGAGAAGAUUUUGACGGUAUCUAACGAAUAAGCACUGGCUAAGUCCGUGCCAGCAGCCGCGGCAAUACGGAGGGUGCAAGCGUUACUCGGACUUACUGGGCGUAAAGUGUGCGUAGGCGGGGUAAUAAGUCAGGUGUGAAAUCCUAUCGCUUAACUACUGGACUGCAUUUGAAACUGUGAGUCUGGAGUGUAGGAGAGGUAAGUGGAAUUCUUGGUGUAGGGGUAAAAUCCGUAGAGAUCAGGAGGAAUACUCGUGGCGAAGGCGACCUGCUGGAACGUAACUGACGCUGAGGCGCGAAAGCGUGGGGAGCGAACGGGAUUAGAUACUCGGGUAGUC